GGAAUCUUCCGCAAUGGGCGCAAGCCUGACGGAGCAACGCCGCGUGCGGGAUGACGCCCUUCGGGGUGUAAACCGCUUUUCUUCGGGAAGAAUGUCCCUUCGGGGGCUUGACGGUACCGGAGGAAGAAGGACCGGCUAACUACGUGCCAGCAGCCGCGGUAAUACGUAGGGUCCGAGCGUUGUCCGGAGUUACUGGGCGUAAAGCGCGCGCAGGCGGCGGUGUUGGCCCGGCGUGAAAGCCCCCGGCUCAACCGGGGAGGGUCGUCGGGGACCGCACCGCUUGAGGGCGGUAGGGGCUGGUGGAAUGCCUGGUGUAGUGGUGAAAUGCGUAGAGAUCAGGCGGAACACCCGUGGCGAAGGCGGCCAGCUGGGCCGUCCCUGACGCUGAGGCGCGAAGGCGUGGGGAGCGAACGGGA
RNAcentral lists this unclassified non-coding RNA (416 nucleotides) under plant metagenome. Its description in RNAcentral is "partial contains 5.8S ribosomal RNA, internal transcribed spacer 2, and large subunit ribosomal RNA". It matches the Rfam family "Bacterial small subunit ribosomal RNA", at positions 358 to 777 of the family's 1533-position model. The record is from RNAcentral.